UAGCGGAGGAAAAGAAACCAACCGGGAUUGCCUUAGUAACGGCGAGUGAAGCGGCAAAAGCUCAAAUUUGAAAUCUGGUACCUUCGGUGCCCGAGUUGUAAUUUGGAGAGGGCAACUUUGGGGCCGUUCCUUGUCUAUGUUCCUUGGAACAGGACGUCAUAGAGGGUGAGAAUCCCGUGUGGCGAGGAGUGCGGUUCUUUGUAAAGUGCCUUCGAAGAGUCGAGUUGUUUGGGAAUGCAGCUCUAAGUGGGUGGUAAAUUCCAUCUAAAGCUAAAUAUUGGCGAGAGACCGAUAGCGAACAAGUACAGUGAUGGAAAGAUGAAAAGAACUUUGAAAAGAGAGUGAAAAAGUACGUGAAAUUGUUGAAAGGGAAGGGCAUUUGAUCAGACAUGGUGUUUUGUGCCCUCUGCUCCUUGUGGGUAGGGGAAUCUCGCAUUUCACUGGGCCAGCAUCAGUUUUGGUGGCAGGAUAAAUCCAUAGGAAUGUAGCUUGCCUCGGUAAGUAUUAUAGCCUGUGGGAAUACUGCCAGCUGGGACUGAGGAACUGCGACGAA
RNAcentral lists this ribosomal RNA (553 nucleotides) under Saccharomyces cerevisiae (brewer's yeast). RNAcentral's name for it is "LSU rRNA". It matches the Rfam family "Eukaryotic large subunit ribosomal RNA", at positions 48 to 604 of the family's 3401-position model. The record is from RNAcentral. Lineage: Eukaryota; Fungi; Ascomycota; Saccharomycetes; Saccharomycetales; Saccharomycetaceae.